RNAcentral lists this transfer RNA (76 nucleotides) under Candidatus Altimarinota bacterium. RNAcentral's name for it is "tRNA-Ala". It matches the Rfam family "tRNA". From Rfam's summary of the family: Transfer RNA (tRNA) molecules are approximately 80 nucleotides in length. Their secondary structure includes four short double-helical elements and three loops (D, anti-codon, and T loops). RNAcentral also lists the same sequence under 1 other name. The record is from RNAcentral. Lineage: Bacteria; Candidatus Altimarinota.
GGGGACAUAGCGCAAUGGCUAGAGCGCUUCCAUGGCAUGGAAGAGGUUGUGGGUUCGAGUCCCAUUGUCUCCACCA